RNAcentral lists this transfer RNA (74 nucleotides) under Clostridiales bacterium. RNAcentral describes it as "tRNA-Gly". It matches the Rfam family "tRNA". Rfam says of the family: Transfer RNA (tRNA) molecules are approximately 80 nucleotides in length. Their secondary structure includes four short double-helical elements and three loops (D, anti-codon, and T loops). Lineage: Bacteria; Bacillati; Bacillota; Clostridia; Eubacteriales. The record is from RNAcentral.
GCGGGUAUAGUUUAAUGGUAAAAUUUUGUGCUUCCGACCCAAAGUUAAGAGUUCGAUUCUCUUUACCCGCUCCA